UUUGCGCUUAGGCUGAUCACCGAAAACUGGAGUCCUUACCCCGGCUGGCGCAAAUUUUUAUGGUAAGG
This 68-nucleotide small RNA is filed under the name Thiothrix eikelboomii. RNAcentral describes it as "int-alpA RNA". It matches the Rfam family "int-alpA RNA". From Rfam's summary of the family: Acidobacteria (1 example), Planctomycetes (1 example), Proteobacteria. Environment (Lake Washington) The record is from Rfam by way of RNAcentral. Lineage: Bacteria; Pseudomonadati; Pseudomonadota; Gammaproteobacteria; Thiotrichales; Thiotrichaceae.